CGCAAAGGUAAUUAUUUCUAGGAAAUAAUGAAAUUUUACAUUGGUCCUAACUUCGUAUUUUUUCUCAUAUGUAGAUUGUGAACAUUCGUCUAAGCCGUCAUUAUUUUCUAUUAAAUAAUACGGAUAGACAAAAUUCUACACCUAUAGUGGAUUUGAAUUCCACAAUUCCGGCGCAUGUUAGUCAGCGGAGGCCGACUAUUUCGUGCCGGAAGCCUUUUAUAUUUCUGGUCUGCCGCCUGCAGAACCAAAAAAAACAACAACAGUGAAGUGCAGUGCAUCUCUGGGCAGAUCACUCUUGCACCACUGUGCCGAGCCGCGCAAGGCUCUUGUACCAGAAUCGUCACUUCUCUCGUUUGCCGCUUCUAUCGUUCGCCGUCUCCACUCAGCAGCAGCAGCAUCAGCAGCAGUGCAGUGCCAGUGCCAGUGCUAGUGAAGAUGUGUAGUGCAAGUUUGUGAAUAAUAGUAUGACAAAAAUAAGUUUGUUAAAAUUAAAAGGUCAUACAAUAGUUGUACACAGAGGCAAUAAGAAAAGGGGUAAAAGCCCAAAUAAAAAGCAAAAAAGAUUUGCAUUUGCCGUCAAUUAAUAUAUUGACAACAACAAUUUAGUUGCCAUACAUAUAAAAUAAUAAGUAACGAAAAAGAUAACGAAAAGUAAAGAGAAAUAUCAAUUGUAAUUUGGCACUUAUUUUUUUUUUGCGCUAUUUUUUUUGGUUUGCUUUGCUUUGUUUACCAUUAUUGCCCUAGGCCUUAAAGGGUAUAUCCAACGUGAAACACAAUAAUUCAAAAAAAUAUAUAAAUAAAUAAAUAAUGCAAAUAUAAUCUCAUACAUAAUAACAAGCCACAAUAAAACCCUGUGCAAAACAAUAAUAAUUAUGUCAAUGUGUGUGUAUGUGAACAACCAAACAAAAGUAUAUACCUUUUAAGGUAUAUAAACAAUCAUUAUUAUCAUCAUCAUUAAAAUCAUUAUCAUCAUCAACAUCAUCAUCACCAACAGCAACAACAUCAUGAAGGCCUUCGUCGUGGAGUUCUGUCGGGUAAGUUUUAAGUCCGAGUGUCCGAAAUAAAAAAAUACAUAAAAGAAGUUUUAUAACAUAAAUAUUCGUACAUAUGUAAUUACAUACAUACAUACAUACAUAUGUUGGUGCCUGUUCGGCCACGCAGCAGCUGCCCACAGUUUUGCUUGCAUUGUAUUUUUUCAUACUUCUUCGCAGUUGCGAAAGCUUCAAACAGCAUAUGAGCUGUCGGCUGAUACCCUAACUUUUGGGUCAGGCCUAUACCUUUUUAGUACUGAUUUGCUUCCACUUGUAUUGUCACUAUUAUUAUUGUUUGUUGGUACAGCACAGUGGUUUGAACAUGAUUUACAAAUAAAUUAAUAAAAAGUCAAUAUUAAUUUUGGAUAAAUAAAAUAUAAAAAGUAAAUAUAAAUAAAAUAAUAACAAUUAAAAAUAAAAUAAUAAAACUUAUAAAUAAAAUAAAUAAAAAUUAAAUAAUAAAUAUGAUUCAAUAAUAAAUACAAUAAAAUAAAUAUUAAACAUGAGUAAAAAUAUUAAACCAAAAAUAAAAAUAAAUUCAAUACAAUUUUUUUUUGUUUAAAUAUGAUUAAAA
Molecule: long non-coding RNA, 1605 nt
Organism: Drosophila albomicans
Lineage: Eukaryota; Metazoa; Arthropoda; Insecta; Diptera; Drosophilidae
Exons: 2
Source: RefSeq, a predicted model, not a curated record